Molecule: ribosomal RNA, 497 nt
Filed under: uncultured bacterium
Lineage: Bacteria
Description: partial 16S ribosomal RNA
Rfam family: Bacterial small subunit ribosomal RNA
Source: RNAcentral
GAUGAACGCUGGCGGCGUGCCUAAUACAUGCAAGUCGAGCGAACAGACGAAGAGCCUGCUCCUCUGACGUUAGCGGCGGACGGGUGAGUAACACGUGGAUAACCUACCUAUAAGACUGGGAUAACUUCGGGAAACCGGAGCUAAUACCGGAUAAUAUAUUGAACCGCAUGGUUCAAUAGUGAAAGACGGUUUUGCUGUCACUUAUAGAUGGAUCCGCGCCGCAUUAGCUAGUUGGUAAGGUAACGGCUUACCAAGGCAACGAUACGUAGCCGACCUGAGAGGGUGAUCGGCCACACUGGAACUGAGACACGGUCCAGACUCCUACGGGAGGCAGCAGUAGGGAAUCUUCCGCAAUGGGCGAAAGCUUGACGGAGCAACGCCGCGUGAGUGAUGAAGGUCUUCGGAUCGUAAAACUCUGUUAUUAGGGAAGAACAAAUGUGUAAGUAACUAUGCACGUCUUGACGGUACCUAAUCAGAAAGCCACGGCUAACUACGUG